AGUUUAUGUCUGGAGAAAUUAACUCCCCACUAUUUCUGGCCUACCUGGAUAUGGGCAGCACAUGCUCUUCAGGCAGAGGAAGUCCAGAGUCAAAGAGACACAAAUGCUUGAGUUUCAACAAUGUCCUUGGAGAGGGCCAGAAAAGGGCAAGAGGAAUUGGAAGCCUCACGGUAUCUGACAAGGCUUGUUCAUUAUCACAGGUGAGAUGCACCCAGGGAUUUGUCAGAACUACAGAUUGAUGGCUGCAUCCCAGGGAAAGCCAUAAAAUCUGGGUUAGCUGAUUAAUGCAACCUUAUUUGUUCCCACAGGCUGAUAAGAACUGGGCAAACUCGAGCUGCAGAUGGAACAUUCUGAUAGAUAUGGACAAAUCCUUUCAUUUCUUUUCCACAAUCAAGUUUAGGAUAGACAUAUACUGCCUGGUCCAUAGUAGUUACUUAUACUAGAUAUCCAUUGAAUGAAUUAACUUUUCUCAUAUUUGACACACAUCAGCAGUGAGCAAGAACUGAACUGAUCCCUGAAAAAUUUCUAGUCCCCUUGAGGCUUGAAGAAUCAGCCCAGAGUUUGAAACAAUUUAAG
Piliocolobus tephrosceles (Ugandan red Colobus) is the source of this 576-nucleotide long non-coding RNA. RefSeq lists it as uncharacterized. The record is from RefSeq and is a predicted model, not a curated record. NCBI's taxonomy places the organism in Eukaryota, Metazoa, Chordata, Mammalia, Primates, Cercopithecidae. The transcript is spliced from 3 exons.